This 376-nucleotide long non-coding RNA is filed under the name Gossypium barbadense (sea-island cotton). Its description in RNAcentral is "long non-coding RNA (GBAR_LNC009305)". The record is from RNAcentral. Lineage: Eukaryota; Viridiplantae; Streptophyta; Magnoliopsida; Malvales; Malvaceae.
AAUCCCUAUGGCCAGCCAACACAACCAAAUGCUGAUCCUUAUGGUCAAUCUGCACAACCAAAUGCUAAUCCGUAUAGUCAACCAGCACAAGCAAAUGCUAAUCCAUACAGCCAACCUGUACAGGUACAUGCUAAUCCAUAUGGCCAACCUGCUCAGCCAAGUGCUAAUCCAUACAACCAACCUGCUCAGCCGAAUGCUAAUCCAUACAGCCAGCCUACACAGCCUAAUGCUAAUCCAUAUGGCCAACCUGUUCAGCCAAGUGCUAAUCCAUAUGCCCAACCCACACAGUCUGUGUCUGCAGCCCCUCAAAUUCCAGGAUCUGCUGCUCAGAGCAGCAAUGGGAGCUUAAUGAUAGGUUCUAAUGGUCCUGUCAGUU